AAUAAGAAGUAAAAAAUUUUACAUUUAGUUUCGACCUAAAAAUUGAUGAAUUAAUCAUCCUUAUUU
Molecule: transfer RNA, 66 nt
Filed under: Arhopalus unicolor
Lineage: Eukaryota; Metazoa; Arthropoda; Insecta; Coleoptera; Cerambycidae
Description: tRNA-Arg
Source: RNAcentral